UAGGCUGCAACUCGCCUACAUGAAGUCGGAAUUGCUAGUAAUCGCGGAUCAGCAUGCCGCGGUGAAUACGUUCCCGGGCCUUGUACACACCGCCCGUCACACCAUGGAAGUUGGUAACACCCGAAGCCUGUAGCCUAACCGCAAGGAGGGCGCAGUCGAAGGUGGGAUUGAUGACUGGGGUGAAGUCGUAACAAGGUAGC
Molecule: ribosomal RNA, 200 nt
Filed under: uncultured bacterium
Lineage: Bacteria
Description: partial 16S ribosomal RNA
Rfam family: Bacterial small subunit ribosomal RNA
Source: RNAcentral